CUCAAGGCUCAGGCCCCCUUUCAAUCAGUAGUCAAUUCAUUGUCCCCCAGAAGUACUGGAUGAAAAACCAAACCUUUACCUGCAGUGUUUCAAGGCUUUUCUAAAACUUUUCAGUCAAACUCCAUCAGCAAUAUUUUUGUGGACCCAUCCAUGGAGCUUCUUCUGGUUCCCAGUAAAGGUUCAGAAUCAAAGACUCUUUCAUGCUCUGGAUGGAGCUUCAACCCUCACAUUAAAUGGUUGUCUGAGUCUCAGGAAAGGUCUCCAAAUUCCACUAAUAUCAGCAUGAGUGAAGAUGGACGUGUUAGAGUAACAAGUCACCUUGUAAUUGAUCACUCUGAGUGGAAAAAAGGGAAUAAUUUCACCUGUGAAGUGUCUGACAGGUCUCUGAACACACGUAUCACAAAAACAAUCAGUUUCUGUUCAGAAACUCCAUCAUCAUCAAAGCUAGUUGGGGUUUAUGUCCAGGGACCACCACCACAGCUGACUGAGAACAAAGGACAUGUGACUAUUACCUGUCUUCUGGUUGGCCCUAAUCUUAAUGAUUUCUCCAUCACCUGGAGAGUAGGUGGCAGCAAAAUUCCUGAGGAUUAUGAUGUCCUAACUAAUCCCCCAAUGAGUCAUAACAAUGGAACAGAGACUCAACAGAGCUUCCUUAAUGUGUCAGCAAAGGAUUGGAAUGCACAUAAACAAUUUUCUUGUGAAGGAAAACAUCCAUGCUCCAAUCAGGGGAAUAAAGACCAUAUAAGCAAAAGCACAGUGCUCCGUCGACCAACAGUGAAGAUAAUACAACCAACUGCCUCUGAACUUUCUAAGUCUGACAUCCUAACGCUUGUUUGCCUAGUGUCUGAAUUUUUCCCUGCUAACAUCAUAGUGUACUGGGAAGAAGAUGGCCAGACUCUCCCAUCCAUGCAUUACGUUAACAGUCCUCCAUGGAAAUACUCUGGGAGCAGCUCUUACUCUGUGAGCAGCAGACUAAACAUAUCCAAAACUGAAGACAAAAGGUCUACGUAUUCUUGUGUUGUCAAACAUGAGUCAUCUGAAGAGCCUGUUGAAGCCACUAUAACUGAUGUGUUUGCCUCAGUGAUCUACAGCCAGCCAUCUGCCUACUUGCUUGAGGGCUCUAAUGAACUUGUGUGUCUGGUCUUUGGCUUCAGCCCUGUAUCCAUUAACAUCACUUGGUUGAAUGAAAAAAAAGAAUUGCUGAACUACAACACUAGUGAGCCCCACAGAGGCCCAGAUGGAAAGUUCAGUGUCCAGAGCCACCUUGACCUGUCCCAAGAUAAAUUCUUACGUGGGGUGGUCUUCACCUGCAGGGUCAUCCAUGCCAACACCACCCUGUCCCUGAAUAUAUCAAAACCAGGUACGAUGGAUUACUGUAAUUUAUUUGACAACAUUGUGCAUGCUGAUGUGAAUCAAGACACAGCUGAGGAAAGCUGGAAUGUGGUUUUCACCCUCAUUGGUUUUUUCAUCACCGCCACCAUAUAUGGUAUCAUAGUUACAUUGAUUAAGACUAAAUCAUGAUGUUCACAGGACGGUUCCUGUGUUAUGAAUGAAAUGUGGAAAUUCUGGGAGUUUUAACAGCACCUGUCCUGACUAGUUUGAACAUGUAAUGCUUUGUGUUUCAAUUGUUAUUAAUGGAAUUGUUUAUGCUUUACAAUUUUUUGUGUCUGUGUUUUAGUUUUGUGCUAGAUGUGACAUGUAUGUAAGACGAGUGAGAAAAUGCAUUAAAAAUCAAUUAAA
Molecule: non-coding RNA, 1740 nt
Organism: Oreochromis aureus
Lineage: Eukaryota; Metazoa; Chordata; Actinopteri; Cichliformes; Cichlidae
Source: the annotation of a RefSeq genome assembly